RNAcentral lists this ribosomal RNA (1445 nucleotides) under uncultured organism. RNAcentral's name for it is "16S ribosomal RNA". It matches the Rfam family "Bacterial small subunit ribosomal RNA". The record is from RNAcentral.
CCUAACACAUGCAAGUCGAGCGGUAGCACAGAGAGCUUGCUCUCGGGUGACGAGCGGCGGACGGGUGAGUAAUGUCUGGGAAACUGCCUGAUGGAGGGGGAUAACUACUGGAAACGGUAGCUAAUACCGCAUAACGUCGCAAGACCAAAGUGGGGGACCUUCGGGCCUCAUGCCAUCAGAUGUGCCCAGAUGGGAUUAGCUAGUAGGUGGGGUAACGGCUCACCUAGGCGACGAUCCCUAGCUGGUCUGAGAGGAUGACCAGCCACACUGGAACUGAGACACGGUCCAGACUCCUACGGGAGGCAGCAGUGGGGAAUAUUGCACAAUGGGCGCAAGCCUGAUGCAGCCAUGCCGCGUGUGUGAAGAAGGCCUUCGGGUUGUAAAGCACUUUCAGCGGGGAGGAAGGCGUUAAGGUUAAUAACCUUGGCGAUUGACGUUACCCGCAGAAGAAGCACCGGCUAACUCCGUGCCAGCAGCCGCGGUAAUACGGAGGGUGCAAGCGUUAAUCGGAAUUACUGGGCGUAAAGCGCACGCAGGCGGUCUGUCAAGUCGGAUGUGAAAUCCCCGGGCUCAACCUGGGAACUGCAUUCGAAACUGGCAGGCUAGAGUCUUGUAGAGGGGGGUAGAAUUCCAGGUGUAGCGGUGAAAUGCGUAGAGAUCUGGAGGAAUACCGGUGGCGAAGGCGGCCCCCUGGACAAAGACUGACGCUCAGGUGCGAAAGCGUGGGGAGCAAACAGGAUUAGAUACCCUGGUAGUCCACGCCGUAAACGAUGUCGAUUUGGAGGUUGUGCCCUUGAGGCGUGGCUUCCGGAGCUAACGCGUUAAAUCGACCGCCUGGGGAGUACGGCCGCAAGGUUAAAACUCAAAUGAAUUGACGGGGGCCCGCACAAGCGGUGGAGCAUGUGGUUUAAUUCGAUGCAACGCGAAGAACCUUACCUGGUCUUGACAUCCACAGAACUUUCCAGAGAUGGAUUGGUGCCUUCGGGAACUGUGAGACAGGUGCUGCAUGGCUGUCGUCAGCUCGUGUUGUGAAAUGUUGGGUUAAGUCCCGCAACGAGCGCAACCCUUAUCCUUUGUUGCCAGCGGUUCGGCCGGGAACUCAAAGGAGACUGCCAGUGAUAAACUGGAGGAAGGUGGGGAUGACGUCAAGUCAUCAUGGCCCUUACGACCAGGGCUACACACGUGCUACAAUGGCAUAUACAAAGAGAAGCGACCUCGCGAGAGCAAGCGGACCUCAUAAAGUAUGUCGUAGUCCGGAUUGGAGUCUGCAACUCGACUCCAUGAAGUCGGAAUCGCUAGUAAUCGUAGAUCAGAAUGCUACGGUGAAUACGUUCCCGGGCCUUGUACACACCGCCCGUCACACCAUGGGAGUGGGUUGCAAAAGAAGUAGGUAGCUUAACCUUCGGGAGGGCGCUUACCACUUUGUGAUUCAUGACUGGGGUGAA